Molecule: ribosomal RNA, 444 nt
Filed under: uncultured bacterium
Lineage: Bacteria
Description: partial 16S ribosomal RNA
Rfam family: Bacterial small subunit ribosomal RNA
Source: RNAcentral
CCUACGGGUGGCAGCAGUGGGGAAUAUUGGGCAAUGGAGGCAACUCUUACCCAGCAAUGCCGCGUGAAUGAAGAAGGUCUUCGGAUUGUAAAGUUCUUUAAUUGGGGACGAAAAAAAUGACGGUACCCAAGGAGUAAGCUCCGGCUAACUACGUGCAAGCAUCCGCGGUAAUACGUAGGGGGCAAGCGUUGUUCGGAAUGACUGGGCGUAAAGGGUGUGUAGGAGGUUUAGCAAGUUAGAAGUGAAAUACCUAGGGCUUAACUCAGGUGCUGCUUGGAAAACUGCGAUACUUGAGUGCAGUAGAGGAGAGUGGAAUUCCUAGUGUAGCGGUGGAAUGCGUAGAUAUUAGGAGGAACAUCAGUGGCGAAGGCGACUUUCUGGACUGUAACUGACGCUGAGGCACGAAAGUGUGGGGAGCAAACAGGAUUAGAUACCCUUGUAGUC